CCUACGGGAGGCAGCAGUGAGGAAUAUUGGUCAAUGGACGAGAGUCUGAACCAGCCAAGUAGCGUGAAGGAUGACUGCCCUAUGGGUUGUAAACUUCUUUUAUAUGGGAAUAAAACGUUCCACGUGUGGGAUUUUGUAUGUACCAUAUGAAUAAGGAUCGGCUAACUCCGUGCCAGCAGCCGCGGUAAUACGGAGGAUCCGAGCGUUAUCCGGAUUUAUUGGGUUUAAAGGGAGCGUAGGUGGAUUGUUAAGUCAGUUGUGAAAGUUUGCGGCUCAACCGUAAAAUUGCAGUUGAAACUGGCAGUCUUGAGUACAGUAGAGGUGGGCGGAAUGCGUGGUGUAGCGGUGAAAUGCUUAGAUAUCACGAAGAACUCCGAUUGCGAAGGCAGUUCACUGGACUGCAACUGACACUGAGGCUCGAAAGUGUGGGUAUCAAACAGGAUUAGAGACCCUAGUAGUC
RNAcentral lists this ribosomal RNA (460 nucleotides) under uncultured bacterium. RNAcentral describes it as "partial 16S ribosomal RNA". It matches the Rfam family "Bacterial small subunit ribosomal RNA", at positions 338 to 795 of the family's 1533-position model. The record is from RNAcentral.